This 253-nucleotide ribosomal RNA is filed under the name uncultured bacterium. Its description in RNAcentral is "partial 16S ribosomal RNA". It matches the Rfam family "Bacterial small subunit ribosomal RNA", at positions 524 to 776 of the family's 1533-position model. The record is from RNAcentral.
UACGUAUGGUGCAAGCGUUGUUCGGAAUCAUUGGGCGUAAAGGGUGUGUAGGCGGAUUAACAAGUCAGGUGUGAAACCUUCGGGCUCAACUCGAAGCCUGCACUUGAAACUGUUAAUCUGGAAUCUGGGAGAGGCAAGUGGAAUUUCUGGUGUAGCGGUGAAAUGCGUAGAUAUCAGAAGGAACACCGAUGGCGAAGGCAACUUGCUGGCCUAAGAUUGACGCUGAAACACGAAAGCGUGGGUAGUGAACGGG